Molecule: long non-coding RNA, 2316 nt
Filed under: Marmota monax (woodchuck)
Lineage: Eukaryota; Metazoa; Chordata; Mammalia; Rodentia; Sciuridae
Source: RNAcentral
GUGGUUCUUCACUAUCACAGAGCUGUUUUUCACAGAUUUUGCAUAUUGAAAAUAUAAAAAUCGGGGCUGGGAUUGUGACUCAACGAUAGAGUGCUCACCUAGCACAUGUGAGGCACUGGGUUCGAUCCUCAGCAUCACAUAAAAAUAAAAAAUAAAAUAAAGAUAUUGUGUCCAACUACAACUAAAAAAUAAAUAUUUUUUAAAAGAAAAUAUAAAAAUCUGUUGAAGGAGGAGAAUUUUUCUUCUGUGCAGUUUCUUUCCUGAAUUCAGUCCAUUACUGUAAUAUAAUAUUUAUAAACUACUGGCAGUUUGCCCCCAGUAAAGCUAGUACAAGAUAUUCACAGGUGUAUCUUAGUGCAAAAAAAUUAAAAUAACAAUUGUUUUCUUUGUAUGAUGUUAUUUCUGCUAGCAUUAGAGUAACCCAUUUGUUUGUUCUUAUUCCUUCUUAUCUACCCAUCUUCAUGUCAUGAUAUUUAGCAGUAUAGUUGGAUAAUUUCUAGAAAUAUGUACAAUCUCUACAUGAUUCUAGAACCAAAUGUUAAAUUGUGGUGUUUAUGAGUGUGAUACAGAAAUUCAUAGAUGAGAAAGAUUAAUGUGAACUAAAAUAGAAAUGAUAUCUUGAAGAACACUGACGUGGAAUUGGAUCCUUUGUAGACACAGCUGGGCAUAUCUGUCUCAGGGAAAUGUGGCCAGGUGUCCAUUGGCCCUUCAACUCAAUAUCACCUGUUGAGAAAGUUUCAAGGUUCCCUGUUGGCUUGUUUAUCCCCACAAAAAUUUCAACAGAACUGAGCAUAAAACUAAUGUAUGACUAAUACAUGAAUUAAAAAUUAAUUAAUAAAAUAUAUAAGCUAUAAAUUAUAUGUGUAUAUUAUACCGUAACAUAAAAAGCUAGGUUGAUUUUGUGACAUGACUAAAGAAUAACAGAACUUAUUUUGCAUGUACCAGAGCUUCUACCCCAAAGUGAGUGGUGUUCAUCUUCCCAUUCCAUUAUGGGAACCUGUAUACUCUUCUCUGUAACACUGCUAUUUCUCAAAAUAUCUUUGGAACUCCUCCUCUGAAUUUCCUUCAGAGGCUGACUCAUUCUUUUCAGUAUCCUCAGAAUCUUUUUCAGCUAAGAGUAGAUUUGAAUUUAGUAAGGAGAAGUCACAUAGGGCCAGGUAUGGUGAGUAAAUCAGAGAAUCGGCUGAGAAAUGCUAUUUUUGGUAACUAUAAGUAAUGAGAGUGUUUUCUAGUUUGACUCAUAAAAUAACCAAAAAUAGUUAUCAUCAUAAAACAAAAGGUAAGUUGGAAGUUUAUCAUUUUAAAGUCUAGUCUGAUUGCUCUUAUAAUUUUCUGGCCCCAGAAUUGGUCAUUGUUCCCCAGAAUCCUGACCUGUUUUAUCUGACCUCACAGCCCCAUGAAACCUGUCUAUUUUUCUUUCCACAUUCCCACUACAGAUUCAUCUUCUGACCCUCUUGUUCUCUGGCAGAGCCUCCUCCUUAGGGCCCUGUGCACUACCCAGAGGUACCUUCCCUUUCAAGAACUAGUCCAGUUCCUACUCCUGGAAGGGAAUCUUUUCACUUCCUAAGUUCCACUAAAUUUAUAGUGAGGCUCCUUUCUUUUUGAGGAAAGGCCUAUUCAAAAAAAUGGUUGCUAUCCCCAGGAAAAUACAUCCAUGUUGAAGAAUUUUUCCCCUGAGAAGCUUGUUCAUAAACUUCUCACUAUCAUUUCCACCAUGCAUAUUUGGGGCUUUGAUGUUUGGGGUCUUGGAAUCAGUCUUUACCCUUCCAACUAACCUCCAAGUUUCUUAUUGGUAAGGAAAUAGUACUCCUUUUCUUUCUUUACUGUAUACACAAAAAUGCUGAGUAUAUAAUGAUUGCAUUCUGAAAAUUUGGGGGGGGGUUUAAAAGGUUUUUAUGUUGUUGUUGUUUUUUAAUCUACCUGCCUGCUACCAUUGCUAUCACAUUUGGUUUUUAUAAGAGACAGAGUUUUAAUUUUUUUUGUUGUUUAUAAGAUAAAAGCUCAGUGUGUUAGGUUACAUAUCACAGGACAUCCUUUAAGCCCCAGAUGAUAUCCCUAAAAUGUGUUUCUCAGGAGAUAAUCCAUAUCUUCCUGUUUUGACAUAUAAAUAAAUACUGUGAAGCUUAGAUGCCAUAGAUCCUGUUAUAUAGCAGAGCAGAUUUUAUCCCCUUUACACAUGACACGAGGACUCUCUCCUGCUGUUACACAGGAAACCAGUAAAGUAUAUGCUAUUGUCAUCUCCUGAAGCCAACAUAAUCAAACUGUAAUGUAUACAGUGAAAAUUCAACAGGCACUUCAUUUUCAGAUUGGCCAAAC